GGCACGGACACCAACGGUGAGACAAAAACCAACCGACCCACCGACACCACGCCCGGCAGCCACCGCUGUGGUGCCGACUGGGAGAGGAGGACAAGCGCCAGGAGGGAGACGGGUAAAGCGGAAGCCCUACCCGUGUAUCCGGUCGGUCUAGGCGGUGUUGCAGAGCCGAAAAGGGAACAACCAAUCAGAGGACAACAAUGGUUCAGGAGCUACCCAAUCAGCAAGUGGAGGGGCGGUCCCCCUAAAACAACUCGUGACUGGGGUAGGGCGGGAGGUGAGGGAGGUGAGCUGCGCGGGCCCCGGGAGGCGGAAGUGCUGCCUGAUAGGGAGCGUCCUACCCACCCCGUCUGCUGGAGCUGGACUGACCAGGGACGGCCACCCCUGAGGGGACUCUAGUGCUGCACUGGGAGCACUUUUGCAGCCAUUACGUCUUUUCGGAGCUAGACAGAAGUUACUAAACCUGGAAAAUUCCUUAAGGAUCACUUGCUUCAAAGGGAGACACGGUGGCCCUGCUGUUCAAGGAGCGUCAGUGACCCAGAGAGUCAGUGACCAAGAGGAAACGCCUGUCUCCUGGGGACUUCCAAGAUACUAGCUACAGUCUCUUAUAUUUA
RNAcentral lists this long non-coding RNA (611 nucleotides) under Homo sapiens (human). RNAcentral describes it as "HSALNT0148585". Lineage: Eukaryota; Metazoa; Chordata; Mammalia; Primates; Hominidae. The record is from RNAcentral.